RNAcentral lists this unclassified non-coding RNA (226 nucleotides) under fungal sp. Its description in RNAcentral is "partial internal transcribed spacer region". The stretch from base 1 to 46 matches the Rfam family "Eukaryotic small subunit ribosomal RNA", at positions 1786 to 1831 of the family's 1831-position model. The record is from RNAcentral. Lineage: Eukaryota; Fungi.
AAGUCGUAACAAGGUUUCCGUAGGUGAACCUGCGGAAGGAUCAUUAUUGUGGGGACCUCGGUCCUUCCAAGAUGCAACCCUUGCCUUUUUCAAGCGUCUCUCUGUUUCCUCGGCAGCUGCGCCUGCCAGCGAGGACCUUUAAAAACCUUUUUGCAAUCCCAGUACAAACUUCUGAAAACACAAAAAAAAAACGUUAAAACUUUCAACAAUGGAUCUCUUGGCUCUG